GCCAGUGUGGUAUAAUGGUUUGAGCACUGAACUAUGACUCUGAAGAUGAGGGUUCGAAUCCCUGCUCAGUCA
Molecule: non-coding RNA, 72 nt
Organism: Phrynosoma platyrhinos (Desert horned lizard)
Lineage: Eukaryota; Metazoa; Chordata; Lepidosauria; Squamata; Phrynosomatidae
Source: the annotation of a GenBank genome assembly